AAUAUGAUGCCUGACAAAAGGUUUGUUUUGAUAGGACAAGUAAUGUAGGUUGACCUACUCAUAUUAC
Molecule: transfer RNA, 67 nt
Filed under: Panulirus polyphagus
Lineage: Eukaryota; Metazoa; Arthropoda; Malacostraca; Decapoda; Palinuridae
Description: tRNA-Ile
Source: RNAcentral